This 985-nucleotide long non-coding RNA is filed under the name Citrus maxima (pomelo). RNAcentral describes it as "long non-coding RNA (CMAX_LNC002055)". The record is from RNAcentral. Lineage: Eukaryota; Viridiplantae; Streptophyta; Magnoliopsida; Sapindales; Rutaceae.
GUGGGGGCCCCGUGUCAAAAAGAAUCUAGGAACCACCACAACACUGCUACUCUUUCUUCCACUCCUCAUAGCUACUGCUUUCAUUUCUUCCUUAUGGAAUUCUGAUACUGUAAGCAAUACCAACUUACAGCACUUGUUUUAAUUUUUCCUGCACAGAUAUAUUUCAAUUGAUUAUGAUCGAGUUAUUUGCCUUUUCGAUUAUUUUGCAGUCUAAUUUUUCUGUUCACAAUAUCUCAAGAAAUAAAACGGUGAUUAUAGUAUCCCGAAAGCCACAAAACCGGCCACCAAAAAGAAUCACAACCCCACUCAAUUGUGUCAAAAACCAAACCCAAACUUGCCCAACAAAUUACCCCAAAACAUCUCAAACACAAGAAUCAAUUUCAGAUUACUCAAUACCACCCACAUCCACAUGCCCAGAUUACUUUCGGUGGAUCCACGAAGAUCUAAGCCCCUGGAAAGUCACAGGAAUCACAAGGGACAUGUUAGAAAGAGCCAAUCAAACGGCUCAUUUUCGUCUAAUACUCGUCAACAACAAAGUAUAUAUCCACAAGUACAAACAAUCAAUACAAACUAGAGACGUUUUCACCAUAUGGGGCAUCUUGCAACUCCUUAGAAAGUAUCCCGGAAGAUUACCGGACUUGGAGCUUAUGUUUGACUGCGAUGACCGCCCCGUCAUCCGAUCACGCGACUACAGCGGGCCAAACAACAAGGGCCCACCUCCGUUGUUUCGGUACAGUGGUGACAGGUGGACGAUGGAUAUAGUGUUUCCUGAUUGGUCCUUCUGGGGAUGGUAAUGACUUCUUCUUCUUCUUCUUCAUCUUUUUGUUGCUCUCUCUUUUGAUUGCUGGUUGCGUGUUGCGUGUGUUUUUGUUUUCGCAUGGAAAUUGUAGAAUGCAUGCAUGUGAGGGACUUAAAUCGACUUGGACUCUAGCUACCAUCGUAGGCCACGUAGGGUAGAAGCAUACUGUAAUUCAUUUUGUUUUCU